GUCACAUUGUGCCAUGUGUAAUGGGACAUCACAAUCCCGCAGAAAAAUACAGUGAGAAUCCCACUCAAAUAGAACAGUUCAGCCAACAUAUAAGAAAGGUAUGCCAUGAGCAUCAUAAGAGCAAACUCACGAUCUGUUGAGUGCCUGCCAAAAUAUAGCUUUUUGAUGAUGUAAGCACUAAGUAAACCAGUUAUAACUCCCAGCAUAGUGCUUGUGAGAAA
This 221-nucleotide unclassified non-coding RNA is filed under the name Hevea brasiliensis (rubber tree). Lineage: Eukaryota; Viridiplantae; Streptophyta; Magnoliopsida; Malpighiales; Euphorbiaceae. The record is from RNAcentral.